UUGCGGUUAAAAAGCUCGUAGUUGGAUUUCUGUCGAGGGCGGCCGGUCCGCACUAUGUGCGUGUAUCUGGUUCGGUCUUGGCAUGCCUCUUGGGGAUCGUCCGUGUGCUUGAUUGCAUGCGACGGAAUUCAAGACUUUUACUUUGAGGAAAUUAGAGUGUUCACGGCAAGCUAUCGCUUUGAAUACAUUAGCAUGGAAUAAUAAUAUAGGGCGUAAGUUCUAUCUUGUUGGUUCAUAGAAAAUACGCAAUGAUUAAUAGGGAUAAUUGGGGGCACUCGUAUUAACGCGUCAGAGGUGGAAUUCUUAGAUUGCGUUACGACGAACUACUGCGAAAGCAUUUGCCAAGGAUGUUUUCAUUGAUCAAGAACGAAAGUAUGGGGAUCGAAGACGAUUAGAUACCGUCGUAGUCUAUACCAUAAACUAUGCCAACUAGAGAUUGGAGGUCGUUUUAUUUAUGACUCCUUCAGCACCUUAUGAGAAAUCAAAGUUUUUGGGUUCCGGGGGGAGUAUGGUCGCAAGGCUGAAACUUAAAGGAAUUGACGGAAGGGCACCACCAGGAGUGGAGCCUGCGGCUUAAUUUGACUCAACACGGGAAAACUUACCAGGUCCAGACAUAGUAAGGAUUGACAGAUUGAUAGCUCUUUCUUGA
This 649-nucleotide ribosomal RNA is filed under the name uncultured marine eukaryote. RNAcentral describes it as "SSU rRNA". It matches the Rfam family "Eukaryotic small subunit ribosomal RNA", at positions 613 to 1265 of the family's 1831-position model. The record is from RNAcentral.